CUAGAGAAUACAGUUGUCUUGACCUCAGGUCUGUCUGUUCUGUCGGCAAGUAACGCAGUACUGUUCUGAUCUGCUGCUAUUAGAAUGCAUUGUGAAGCGACUGGAGUAUGAUUAAAAGUUGUUCCCCUCAAUGCUUGGAGUAGUGAUUGUUGAAGGAAAAUCCAGCUAAAUGAUAAAGGCUGAGUGU
This is a long non-coding RNA of Mustela erminea (ermine), 187 nucleotides long. RefSeq lists it as uncharacterized. The transcript is spliced from 3 exons. Lineage: Eukaryota; Metazoa; Chordata; Mammalia; Carnivora; Mustelidae. The record is from RefSeq and is a predicted model, not a curated record.